CAGGAUACGCUCGAGAUGUGCUCCAAGGAUCAGGAGUUUAAAAGCAUCCUCUUCUCCCUGUGUUACUUCCAUGGCUGCGUGGCAGGGAGACUGAGGUUUGGUCCCCAGGGCUGGAGCCGAAGCUAUCCUUUCAGCCCGGGAGACCUGACCAUCUGCACCAACAUCCUCUACAACCACUUAGAGGCAAACCCUCACGUAAGUGCCGCCAUCAGAUAACCCCUUCCGAGGAGUGCGUGGAAAAUGUCAGUCUUUGGGCCCUAAUGGAACGGACCACCAUUUCUCUUCUGAAGUAGCCAACACUGCAUAAGCAUCAUCCGCCAAGUGUGAAAAUAAACCAGAGUAAAGGUUUUCAUAAGAUAGGUCAAACCAGUUCUACACCAGUAGCUUAUGCAAAAAAAAGAAAAAAAA
RNAcentral lists this long non-coding RNA (408 nucleotides) under Rattus norvegicus (Norway rat). RNAcentral's name for it is "long non-coding RNA NONRATT025429". The record is from RNAcentral. Lineage: Eukaryota; Metazoa; Chordata; Mammalia; Rodentia; Muridae.